CUCUUACUCCCGGUUCCCCUCUUUUCGGCAGCGCGCCGUUCAACAGUCCUGUACGCGGAACGUAAAAAGGGGAUUGGCGCCAGGACAUCACCGACGGCGUCUCCUUCACGUAAAAUCUGACCUUCGACGGUGAACUGACCAAACUCGGCUUCUUCUCAGCUGUCGCCCUUAUGCCGAUCAGAGGUACGGCGAAAGCUGGGAGCGACGAGAAACGCUUCAGAACUCGCGGCCACCCUGUUGUUCUUCCUGCUGCUGCUGCUGCCGCGGACAUUCACGCUCCUGUCUCUUGCACGGUCUCCUCUGUCUCUGGCAGGGCUGCUGCUGCUGCCGCCGAUCGCAACUUCUAAACGUUUACAAUAAUAUAAAGUGUCAACUAAAUGAAAGGAGAUCAACGAUUCAAUCCGUUCUUCGAUACAAGAAUAAAAUAAUA
Long non-coding RNA from Ceratina calcarata, 430 nucleotides. RefSeq lists it as uncharacterized. The transcript is spliced from 3 exons. NCBI's taxonomy places the organism in Eukaryota, Metazoa, Arthropoda, Insecta, Hymenoptera, Apidae. The record is from RefSeq and is a predicted model, not a curated record.